UAGGGAAUCUUCGGCAAUGGGGGCAACCCUGACCGAGCAACGCCGCGUGAGUGAAGAAGGUUUUCGGAUCGUAAAGCUCUGUUGUAAGAGAAGAACGUGUGUGAGAGUGGAAAGUUCACACAGUGACGGUAACUUACCAGAAAGGGACGGCUAACUACGUGCCAGCAGCCGCGGUAAUACGUAGGUCCCGAGCGUUGUCCGGAUUUAUUGGGCGUAAAGCGAGCGCAGGCGGUUUAAUAAGUCUGAAGUUAAAGGCAGUGGCUUAACCAUUGUUCGCUUUGGAAACUGUUAAACUUGAGUGCAGAAGGGGAGAGUGGAAUUCCAUGUGUAGCGGUGAAAUGCGUAGAUAUAUGGAGGAACACCGGUGGCGAAAGCGGCUCUCUGGUCUGUAACUGACGCUGAGGCUCGAAAGCGUGGGGAGCAA
RNAcentral lists this ribosomal RNA (424 nucleotides) under bacterium. RNAcentral's name for it is "partial 16S ribosomal RNA". It matches the Rfam family "Bacterial small subunit ribosomal RNA", at positions 355 to 771 of the family's 1533-position model. The record is from RNAcentral.